AUUGAACGCUGGCGGCAGGCCUAACACAUGCAAGUCGAGCGGAUGAAGGGAGCUUGCUCCUGGAUUCAGCGGCGGACGGGUGGGUAAUGCCUAGGAAUCUGCCUGGUAGUGGGGGAUAACGUCCGGAAACGGGCGCUAAUACCGCAUACGUCCUGAGGGAGAAAGUGGGGGAUCUUCGGACCUCACGCUCUCAGAUGAGCCUAGGUCGGAUUAGCUAGUUGGUGGGGUAAAGGCCUACCAAGGCGACGAUCCGUAACUGGUCUGAGAGGAUGAUCAGUCACACUGGAACUGAGACACGGUCCAGACUCCUACGGGAGGCAGCAGUGGGGAAUAUUGGACAAUGGGCGAAAGCCUGAUCCAGCCAUGCCGCGUGUGUGAAGAAGGUCUUCGGAUUGUAAAGCACUUUUAGUGGGGAGGAAGGGCAGUAAGUUAAUACCUUGCUGUUUUGACGGUACCAACAGAAUAAGCACCGGCUAACUUCGUG
RNAcentral lists this ribosomal RNA (484 nucleotides) under uncultured bacterium. Its description in RNAcentral is "partial 16S ribosomal RNA". It matches the Rfam family "Bacterial small subunit ribosomal RNA", at positions 30 to 507 of the family's 1533-position model. The record is from RNAcentral.